ACUUAUGGCAUUACCACCCUGAACACGCCCGAUCUCGUCUGAUCACAGAAGCUAAGCAGAGACGAGCCCGGUUAAUACUUGGAUGGUAGGGUGCCUGGGAAUACCAGGUGCUGUAAGCU
RNAcentral lists this ribosomal RNA (119 nucleotides) under Amphilophus citrinellus (Midas cichlid). The record is from RNAcentral. Lineage: Eukaryota; Metazoa; Chordata; Actinopteri; Cichliformes; Cichlidae.